This 20-nucleotide non-coding RNA is filed under the name Arabidopsis thaliana (thale cress). Lineage: Eukaryota; Viridiplantae; Streptophyta; Magnoliopsida; Brassicales; Brassicaceae. The record is from RNAcentral.
UUGAUGAGUAAAAUGAGUUA